AGUAAUCAAACGAGAUUUUCUUAGUAGCGGCGAGCGAACGGGAAAGAGGCCAAACCGGAGCGGGCAACCGCACCGGGGUUGAGGACAGUCAUCAAGUGUAAAUGAGGUAGAAGAAUCGAGUUGGAAAGCUCAGCCGAAGAAGGUGAAAGCCCUGUAAUCGAAACCUUGCAUACACGGGACUGUAUCCAGAGUACCACGAGACACGUGAAACCUUGUGGGAAGCAGGGGGGACCACCCUCCAAGCCAAAAUACUGAUAUCGACCGAUAGCGCAUAGUACCGUGAGGGAAAGGUGAAAAGAACCCCUGGCGGGGAGUGAAAGAGAACCUGAAACCGUAUGUCUACAAACAGUCGAAGUCUGUAUAUAUAUCAGGACGACGGCGUGCCUAUUGAAGAAUGAACCGACGAGUUACUGUUGCUAGCGAGGUUAAGUGGAAAACAUGGAGCCGCAGCGAAAGCGAGUCUGAACAGGGCGUUCAGUUAGUAAUAGUAGACCCGAAACCGUAGUGAUCUAUCCAUGGCCAGGUUGAAGCACAGGUAAAAUUGUGUGGAGGACCGAACUCGUGAGCGUUGAAAAGCUUUGGGAUGAGUUGUGGAUAGGGGUGAAAUGCCAAUCGAACACGGAGAUAGCUGGUUCUCCCCGAAAUAGCUUUAGGGCUAGCCUCGAGGUUGAGAGUAUAGGCGGUAGAGCACUGAUCGGGCUAGGGGCCAUACCGGUUACCGAACCUAGUCAAACUACGAAUGGCUAUACUUAUACUCGGGAGUCAGACAGUGAAUGAUAAGGUCCAUUGUCAAGAGGGAAACAGCCCAGAACACCGACUAAGGUCCCAAAUGUUACACUAAGUGGCGAAGGAUGUGGAGUUUCCAAAACAACCAGGAUGUUGGCUUAGAAGCAGCCACCAUUUAAAGAGUGCGUAAUAGCUCACUGGUCGAGAGACUCUGCGCCGAAGAUGUCCGGGGCUAAAGUGUAAAACCGAAGUCGUGUCAUAUGCAGCAAUGUAUAUGGGUAGGGGAGCGUUCUCAUCGGGCUGAAGCAGUACCGUAAGGAGUUGUGGACUGAUGAGAAGUGAGAAUGUCGGUAUGAGUAGCGAAAAGAAUGGUGAGAAUCCAUUCCACCGAAAGCCUAAGGGUUCCUGAGCAACGAUCGUCGUCUCAGGGUAAGUCGGGACCUAAGCCGAGGCGGAAAAGCGUAGGCGAUGGACAACAGGUUGAAAUUCCUGUACCGGUGUGAAUCGUUUGAUCGAUGGAGUGACACAGUAAGGUAGGUCAGCACGCGAUUGGAAGAGCGUGUUUAAGCAGGUAGGUUGAGCUAUAGGCAAAUCCGUAGCUCUAAAAGCUGAGAUGUGAUGACGAGUUACUAGCGAUAGUAACGAAGUGAUUGAUCCUACACUGUCGAGAAAAGCUUCUAGGUAGAGACACAUCGCCCGUACCAAAACCGACACAGGUAGGCGGGGAGAGAAUCCUAAGGUGCGCGGGAAAACCCUCGUUAAGGAACUCGGCAAAAUGCCUCCGUAACUUCGGGAAAAGGAGGACUCAUGUAGUGUGAAGAGCAGCAACGCUUGGAGCAUGAAUGAGUGGCACAAGAGAGGCGCAAGCGACUGUUUACCACAAACACAGGUGCCUGCUAAAGCGAAAGCUGACGUAUAGGUGCUGACACCUGCCCGGUGCUGGAAGGUUAAGAGGAGGGGUUAGACUUCGGUCGAAGCUCUGAAUUGAAGCCCCAGUAAACGGCGGCCGUAACUAUAACGGUCCUAAGGUAGCGAAAUUCCUUGUCGGGUAAGUUCC
This 1783-nucleotide ribosomal RNA is filed under the name human gut metagenome. RNAcentral describes it as "bacterial LSU rRNA". It matches the Rfam family "Bacterial large subunit ribosomal RNA", at positions 220 to 1984 of the family's 2925-position model. The record is from RNAcentral.